Molecule: long non-coding RNA, 331 nt
Filed under: Homo sapiens (human)
Lineage: Eukaryota; Metazoa; Chordata; Mammalia; Primates; Hominidae
Description: HSALNT0227156
Source: RNAcentral
AACUACUAUGCAACUUUUCAUUGCAGUGAGAAAGUCGCCACAGACAAUAGGUGCUCCCGGUGGUGUUGACUGGCAAAAGCCAGGGAAAAAACGAUCUAUGCAGCGUGACUAUGGUGGAAGAGGACAAAAGCCUGGAUGGAAUCACACGUCAACACGGCGAUAAUAGCACAGGGCAUUCAGUGCACGUUUCUGUGAGCCUUCCAUCAUGCUUCGACGGCUCUGACAUCGAUGAUCAGUUCAUUUCAUCCUCACGACACUGGGAGGAGGUGGAUACUAUUAACAUACCCAUUUUACAGAUGAGUAUACUGAGGCAGAAGGGCUCAGGGAACGU